CUACCGCGCGAUCGAGCUCCUGCUUGGGGACCGCCACUACGGCCCGGCACUGGACGUGUGGUCGGUGGGGUGCAUCUUCGGGGAGAUCCUCCUGAGCAGGGCCGGGAGGAAGCAGCCUUU
RNAcentral lists this non-coding RNA (120 nucleotides) under Heterocapsa rotundata. The record is from RNAcentral. Lineage: Eukaryota; Dinophyceae; Peridiniales; Heterocapsaceae.